CCUACGGGUGGCUGCAGUGGGGAAUAUUGGACAAUGGGGGCAACCCUGAUCCAGCCAUGCCGCGUGUGUGAAGAAGGCCCUCGGGUUGUAAAGCACUUUCAGUGAGGAAGAACGCCUGGUGGUUAAUACCCAUCAGGAAAGACAUCACUCACAGAAGAAGCACCGGCUAACUCCGUGCCAGCAGCCGCGGUAAUACGGAGGGUGCGAGCGUUAAUCGGAAUUACUGGGUGUAAAGCGCGCGUAGGUGGCUUGAUAAGCCGGUUGUGAAAGCCCCGGGCUCAACCUGGGAACGGCAUCCGGAACUGUCAAGCUAGAGUGCAGGAGAGGAAGGUAGAAUUCCCGGUGUAGCGGUGAAAUGCGUAGAGAUCGGGAGGAAUACCAGUGGCGAAGGCGGCCUUCUGGACUGACACUGACACUGAGGUGCGAAAGCGUGGGUAGCAAACAGGAUUAGAUACCCUAGUAGUC
RNAcentral lists this ribosomal RNA (465 nucleotides) under Vreelandella stevensii. Its description in RNAcentral is "partial 16S ribosomal RNA". It matches the Rfam family "Bacterial small subunit ribosomal RNA", at positions 338 to 795 of the family's 1533-position model. The record is from RNAcentral. Lineage: Bacteria; Pseudomonadati; Pseudomonadota; Gammaproteobacteria; Oceanospirillales; Halomonadaceae.